AAGGGUAUAGCUCAGUGGUAGAGUGCAUGCUUAGAAUGCACAAGGUCCUGGGUUCAAUCCCCAGUACCUCUA
This 72-nucleotide transfer RNA is filed under the name Camelus bactrianus (Bactrian camel). It matches the Rfam family "tRNA". From Rfam's summary of the family: Transfer RNA (tRNA) molecules are approximately 80 nucleotides in length. Their secondary structure includes four short double-helical elements and three loops (D, anti-codon, and T loops). Lineage: Eukaryota; Metazoa; Chordata; Mammalia; Artiodactyla; Camelidae. The record is from Rfam by way of RNAcentral. RNAcentral also lists the same sequence under 2 other names.